This 274-nucleotide long non-coding RNA is filed under the name Brassica napus (rape). RNAcentral describes it as "long non-coding RNA (BNAP_LNC018869)". The record is from RNAcentral. Lineage: Eukaryota; Viridiplantae; Streptophyta; Magnoliopsida; Brassicales; Brassicaceae.
UAAUAUUGCGUUUGGUUUUGGUAGCUCGUUACAGGCAACAAUUUAGAGUCUCUGAUUCACUUCUUGAUAGUGGAUAAAGCGCUGUACGUUGCCGAUAUUGACUUUGGUUCAAAGAUUUAAUUAUUGGCUUCAAAAUGUGUUUUGGCCAAUACGAUCAAUGUUCCUAAAUCUCUGUCCCUAAUUAAUAUUGUAUCUGUUUUACAACUUUGUACUUGCCCUGGAAGACUCGAUUUAGUCCCAUGACUUUAGUCUUGAACCAUGGAACGAUUUGACA